Molecule: ribosomal RNA, 1528 nt
Filed under: Klebsiella pneumoniae
Lineage: Bacteria; Pseudomonadati; Pseudomonadota; Gammaproteobacteria; Enterobacterales; Enterobacteriaceae
Also listed under: 1 other name
Description: bacterial SSU rRNA
Rfam family: Bacterial small subunit ribosomal RNA
Source: RNAcentral
AGAGUUUGAUCAUGGCUCAGAUUGAACGCUGGCGGCAGGCCUAACACAUGCAAGUCGAGCGGUAGCACAGAGAGCUUGCUCUCGGGUGACGAGCGGCGGACGGGUGAGUAAUGUCUGGGAAACUGCCUGAUGGAGGGGGAUAACUACUGGAAACGGUAGCUAAUACCGCAUAAUGUCGCAAGACCAAAGUGGGGGACCUUCGGGCCUCAUGCCAUCAGAUGUGCCCAGAUGGGAUUAGCUAGUAGGUGGGGUAACGGCUCACCUAGGCGACGAUCCCUAGCUGGUCUGAGAGGAUGACCAGCCACACUGGAACUGAGACACGGUCCAGACUCCUACGGGAGGCAGCAGUGGGGAAUAUUGCACAAUGGGCGCAAGCCUGAUGCAGCCAUGCCGCGUGUGUGAAGAAGGCCUUCGGGUUGUAAAGCACUUUCAGCGGGGAGGAAGGCGAUAAGGUUAAUAACCUUGGCGAUUGACGUUACCCGCAGAAGAAGCACCGGCUAACUCCGUGCCAGCAGCCGCGGUAAUACGGAGGGUGCAAGCGUUAAUCGGAAUUACUGGGCGUAAAGCGCACGCAGGCGGUCUGUCAAGUCGGAUGUGAAAUCCCCGGGCUCAACCUGGGAACUGCAUUCGAAACUGGCAGGCUAGAGUCUUGUAGAGGGGGGUAGAAUUCCAGGUGUAGCGGUGAAAUGCGUAGAGAUCUGGAGGAAUACCGGUGGCGAAGGCGGCCCCCUGGACAAAGACUGACGCUCAGGUGCGAAAGCGUGGGGAGCAAACAGGAUUAGAUACCCUGGUAGUCCACGCCGUAAACGAUGUCGAUUUGGAGGUUGUGCCCUUGAGGCGUGGCUUCCGGAGCUAACGCGUUAAAUCGACCGCCUGGGGAGUACGGCCGCAAGGUUAAAACUCAAAUGAAUUGACGGGGGCCCGCACAAGCGGUGGAGCAUGUGGUUUAAUUCGAUGCAACGCGAAGAACCUUACCUGGUCUUGACAUCCACAGAACUUUCCAGAGAUGGAUUGGUGCCUUCGGGAACUGUGAGACAGGUGCUGCAUGGCUGUCGUCAGCUCGUGUUGUGAAAUGUUGGGUUAAGUCCCGCAACGAGCGCAACCCUUAUCCUUUGUUGCCAGCGGUUCGGCCGGGAACUCAAAGGAGACUGCCAGUGAUAAACUGGAGGAAGGUGGGGAUGACGUCAAGUCAUCAUGGCCCUUACGACCAGGGCUACACACGUGCUACAAUGGCAUAUACAAAGAGAAGCGACCUCGCGAGAGCAAGCGGACCUCAUAAAGUAUGUCGUAGUCCGGAUUGGAGUCUGCAACUCGACUCCAUGAAGUCGGAAUCGCUAGUAAUCGUAGAUCAGAAUGCUACGGUGAAUACGUUCCCGGGCCUUGUACACACCGCCCGUCACACCAUGGGAGUGGGUUGCAAAAGAAGUAGGUAGCUUAACCUUCGGGAGGGCGCUUACCACUUUGUGAUUCAUGACUGGGGUGAAGUCGUAACAAGGUAACCGUAGGGGAACCUGCGGUUGGAUCACCU